Molecule: non-coding RNA, 255 nt
Filed under: Burkholderiales bacterium
Lineage: Bacteria; Pseudomonadati; Pseudomonadota; Betaproteobacteria; Burkholderiales
Source: RNAcentral
CUUACAAUGCCGCUUGUUGGUGCUCGCGGUGUGGUUCACACGCCGCAGUUCAACGGGAAGCAGGAGGGAAUGUUCACGCCGAACGGACCUAACCUGCGCUGCCCCCGCAACGGUAAGCAGACGAGCCACCUGAUGCUCUCAGGUCGCUCCGCGUUCAUCCCACAGCCACUGGAGAACUGGUUCAGGCCAGAUCACCGGGAAGGCGAUGAAGGUCGAUCUGCCAGCCCGGAUACCGGCCAACGAGGUGGUGGUGCG